Molecule: ribosomal RNA, 253 nt
Filed under: uncultured bacterium
Lineage: Bacteria
Description: partial 16S ribosomal RNA
Rfam family: Bacterial small subunit ribosomal RNA
Source: RNAcentral
UACGGGGGGAGCAAACGUUGUUCGGAAUCACUGGGCGUAAAGGGCGUGUAGGCGGCUGAAUAAGUGGGAUGUUAAAUCCCCCGGCUCAACCGGGGACCUGCAUCUCAUACUGUUCAGCUCGAGCACAUCAGAGGAGACUGGAAUUCCCGGUGUAGCGGUGGAAUGCGUAGAGAUCCGGAGGAACACCAGCGGCGAAGGCGGCAUCCUGGACUGGUCCUGACACUCAGGAGCGAAAGCGUGGGGAGCGAUCCGG